UACGUAGGGGCUAGCGUUGUCCGGAAUUAUUGGGCGUAAAGAGCUCGUAGGCGGUUUGUCGCGUCGAAUGUGAAAACCCGGGGCUCAACCCCGGGCCUGCAUUCGAUACGGGCAGACUAGAGUUCGGUAGGGGAGUCUGGAAUUCCUGGUGUAGCGGUGAAAUGCGCAGGAUAUCAGGAGGAACACCGGUGGCGAAGGCGGGUCUCUGGGCCGAUACUGACGCUGAGGAGCGAAAGCGUGGGGAGCGAACAGG
This 253-nucleotide ribosomal RNA is filed under the name uncultured bacterium. Its description in RNAcentral is "partial 16S ribosomal RNA". It matches the Rfam family "Bacterial small subunit ribosomal RNA", at positions 524 to 776 of the family's 1533-position model. The record is from RNAcentral.